CAAUAGCGUAUAUUAAAGUUGUUGCAGUUAAAAAGCUCGUAGUUGAACUUCUGGUAGGAGUGUCCCGGUGUUUGGGCGAAUGCCCUCUCUUACUGUGUGACAUCUCUGGCCAUCCUCGCUAUCUUUUAGGUAGCGUCUUUCACUGUAAAAAAUUAGGGUGUUUCAAGCAAAGUUUACUUUGGAAUAUAUUAGUAUGGGAUGAUAAGAUAGGCUCUCGAUGCUAUUUUGUUGGUUUGCACAUCAAGAGAAUGAUUAACAGGGACAGUUGGGGGUAGUUCAUAUUUACUAUGUCAGAGGUGAAAUUCUUGGAUUUUGGAAAGAUGACUACUGCGAAAGCAUUUACCAAGGAUGUUUUCAUUAAUCAAGAACGAAAGUUAGGGGAUCGAAGACGAUUAGAUACCAU
RNAcentral lists this ribosomal RNA (403 nucleotides) under uncultured eukaryote. RNAcentral describes it as "bacterial SSU rRNA". It matches the Rfam family "Eukaryotic small subunit ribosomal RNA", at positions 592 to 1018 of the family's 1831-position model. The record is from RNAcentral.